GACGAACGCUGGCGGCGUGCUUAACACAUGCAAGUCGAGCGGAAAGGCCCUUCGGGGUACUCGAGCGGCGAACGGGUGAGUAACACGUGAGUAACCGGCCCUAGAACUUGGGAUAACCCUCGGAAACGGGGGCUAAUACCGGAUACCCCUUCUAAAUCGCGUGCUGUGGGGGGGAAAGGUUUUCGGUCUGGGCUGGACUCGCGGCCUAUCAGCUUGUUGGUGGGGUAAUGGCUUACCAAGGCGAGGACGGGUAGCCGGCCUGAGCGGGCGACCGGCCACACGGGGCCUGAGGCACGGCCCAGUCUCCUACGGGACGCAGCAGUGGGGAAUAUUGCACAAUGGGCGGACGCCUGAUGCAGCGACGCCGCGUGCGGGAUGACGGCCUUCGGGUUGUAAGCCUCUUUCAGCAUGGCCGAAGCGUAAGUGACGGUACCUGCAGAGGAAGCGCCGGCCAACUACGUG
RNAcentral lists this ribosomal RNA (462 nucleotides) under uncultured bacterium. Its description in RNAcentral is "partial 16S ribosomal RNA". It matches the Rfam family "Bacterial small subunit ribosomal RNA", at positions 28 to 507 of the family's 1533-position model. The record is from RNAcentral.